This 468-nucleotide ribosomal RNA is filed under the name uncultured bacterium. RNAcentral describes it as "partial 16S ribosomal RNA". It matches the Rfam family "Bacterial small subunit ribosomal RNA", at positions 28 to 507 of the family's 1533-position model. The record is from RNAcentral.
GACGAACGCUGGCGGCGUGCUUAACACAUGCAAGUCGAACGGAAAGGCCCUGCUUUUGUGGGGUUCUCGAGUGGCGGACGGGUGAGUAACACGUGAGUAACCUGCCCUUGACUGUGGGAUAACUUCAGGAAACUGGGGCUAAUACCGGAUAGGAGCUCCUGCUGCAUGGUGGGGGUUGGAAAGUUUCGGCGGUUGUGGAUGGACUCUGGGGUAAUGAGCUUGUUGGUGGGGUAGUGGCUUACCAAGGCAUUGACGGGUAGCCAGCCUGAGAGGGUGGCCGGGCUCCUGGGGACUGAGAUAGGGACCAGAGUCGUACAGGAGGCAGCAGUCGGAAAUAUGGCCCAGUGAUGGGGAGCCUGAGGCAGAAGCGCCCCGUGCGGAAAGACCGCCUUCGGGUUGUGAACCGCUUUCGCCUGAUACGAAGCGGGAGUGACGGUAAUGGGUAAAGAAGCACCGGCUAACUACGUG